GUCGAGCGAACGGACGAGAAGCUUGCUUCUCUGAUGUUAGCGGCGGACGGGUGAGUAACACGUGGAUAACCUACCUAUAAGACUGGGAUAACUUCGGGAAACCGGAGCUAAUACCGGAUAAUAUUUUGAACCGCAUGGUUCAAAAGUGAAAGACGGUCUUGCUGUCACUUAUAGAUGGAUCCGCGCUGCAUUAGCUAGUUGGUAAGGUAACGGCUUACCAAGGCAACGAUGCAUAGCCGACCUGAGAGGGUGAUCGGCCACACUGGAACUGAGACACGGUCCAGACUCCUACGGGAGGCAGCAGUAGGGAAUCUUCCGUAAUGGGCGAAAGCCUGACGGAGCAACGCCGCGUGAGUGAUGAAGGUCUUCGGAUCGUAAAACUCUGUUAUUAGGGAAGAACAUAUGUGUAAGUAACUGUGCACAUCUUGACGGUACCUAAUCAGAAAGCCACGGCUAACUACGUGCCAGCAGCCGCGGUAAUACGUAGGUGGCAAGCGUUAUCCGGAAUUAUUGGGCGUAAAGCGCGCGUAGGCGGUUUUUUAAGUCUGAUGUGAAAGCCCACGGCUCAACCGUGGAGGGUCAUUGGAAACUGGAAAACUUGAGUGCAGAAGAGGAAAGUGGAAUUCCAUGUGUAGCGGUGAAAUGCGCAGAGAUAUGGAGGAACACCAGUGGCGAAGGCGACUUUCUGGUCUGUAACUGACGCUGAUGUGCGAAAGCGUG
This 720-nucleotide ribosomal RNA is filed under the name uncultured Staphylococcus sp. RNAcentral describes it as "bacterial SSU rRNA". It matches the Rfam family "Bacterial small subunit ribosomal RNA", at positions 61 to 763 of the family's 1533-position model. Lineage: Bacteria; Bacillati; Bacillota; Bacilli; Caryophanales; Staphylococcaceae. The record is from RNAcentral.